Molecule: ribosomal RNA, 301 nt
Filed under: uncultured bacterium
Lineage: Bacteria
Description: partial 16S ribosomal RNA
Rfam family: Bacterial small subunit ribosomal RNA
Source: RNAcentral
CAGCCGCCGCGGGAAUACAGAGGGUGCGAGCGUUAAUCGGAUUUACUGGGCGUAAAGCGUGCGUAGGCGGCUUCUUAAGUCAGAUGUGAAAUCCCUGAGCUUAACUUAGGAAUUGCAUUCGAUACUGGGAAGCUAGAGUAUGGGAGAGGAUGGUAGAAUUCCAGGUGUAGCGGUGAAAUGCGUAGAGAUCUGGAGGAAUACCGAUGGCGAAGGCAGCCAUCUGGCCUAAUACUGACGCUGAGGUACGAAAGCAUGGGGAGCAAACAGGAUUAGAUACCCCCGUAGUCCCUGUCUCUUAUAC